CCUGAGAAACCCAAAAGAUCGAAUGGGGAGAUUCAUCGUCAGCGUGGCUGGCUUCCGUGCGGUUCGCGAUGGCCGGGAUCUCGGUCCCGCGUCACGCGUCCGCCGCGGUAUGUCUGGCCGCGUCGGCGUGCACUUCUCCCCUAGUAGGACGUCGCGACCCGUUGGGUGUCGGACCGAUGGCCGUUUGGUCGACUGUCUCGUCGCGUUCACGCGUGCACGCGGCAGACCGAAAUGGUCGAGCGUCCGGCUGCCCGGCGGUAUAGAACGCUUAUGAACGGUAACGAGCCGCACUAAGUGCGUUCAGGCUCGUCGGCAGGCUCGUCUCGCCCGGAUUUACGGACCUAGCGCCGUUGCCGGGUGCUUGGCGUGGCUGUUAGUCGACGAUGUCCUCGGACUGGCUCGAAAAUUCGAAAGGAUUACCGGUCGGCGACGCUACUGCUUUGGGUACUUUC
RNAcentral lists this ribosomal RNA (452 nucleotides) under Achrysocharoides sp. 1 RDB-1999. RNAcentral's name for it is "eukaryotic LSU rRNA". The record is from RNAcentral. Lineage: Eukaryota; Metazoa; Arthropoda; Insecta; Hymenoptera; Eulophidae.